RNAcentral lists this ribosomal RNA (1098 nucleotides) under Triticum aestivum (bread wheat). RNAcentral's name for it is "partial small subunit ribosomal RNA". Lineage: Eukaryota; Viridiplantae; Streptophyta; Magnoliopsida; Poales; Poaceae. The record is from RNAcentral.
AUGCCGAUCGAGGCGGCAGACAACGUACCGGCCGAGCUUCCCGGCCACGGCCGGACGGUGUGCGUCACCGGCGCCGGCGGUUUCAUCGCCUCGUGGCUCGUCAAGCGCCUCCUCCAGAAGGGUUACACCGUGCGAGGCACCGUUCGCAACCCAGUUGAUCCGAAGAAUGAUCACCUCAGAGCCUUCGAUGGCGCCGCCGACCGCCUCAUCCUCCUCCGCGCCGACCUUAUGGAGCCCGAAACCCUCGUCGAGGCGUUCACGGGCUGCGAGGGCAUCUUCCACGCCGCUUCCCCCGUCACCGACGACCCUGAGAAGAUGAUCGAGCCGGCGAUCCGAGGGACCAAGUACGUGAUCACGGCAGCCGCGGACAUGGGCAUCAAGCGUGUGGUGUUCACGUCCACCAUCGGCACGGUGUACAUGAACCCCCACAGGGACGCCAGCAAGCCCGUCGACGACACCUGCUGGAGCGACCUUGAAUACUGCAAAAAGACAGCGAACUGGUACUGCUACGCGAAGACGGUGGCCGAGCAGGACGCGCUGGAGACGGCCCGGCAGCGCGGCAUCGAGCUGAUCGUGGUGAACCCGGUGCUGGUGCUGGGCCCGCUGCUGCAACCUACGGUGAACGCGAGCACGGAGCACGUGAUGAAGUACCUGACGGGGUCGGCCAAGACGUACGUGAACGCGGCGCAGGCGUACGUGCACGUCAAGGACGUGGCCGAGGCGCACGUCCGCGUCUACGAGGCGCCCGGCGCGCACGGCCGCUACAUCUGCGCCGAGGGCACCACGCUCCACCGCGGCGACCUCUGCCGCGUCCUCGGCAAGCUAUUCCCUGAGUACCCCGUACCCACCAAGUGCAAGGACGAGGUGAACCCACCGGUGAAAGGGUACAAAUUCACCAACCAGAGGCUCAAGGAUCUGGGCAUGGAGUUCGUGCCGGUGCUGCAGAGUAUAUACGAGACGGUGAAGAGCCUCCAGGAGAAAGGGAUGCUGCCGGUGCUACCGCCAGGCGACGACAUCCCAGACAACCUGCAUGAGCAGCUCAUGAUGAAGCCCGCCCAGUUGCUACGAAAACACGUUCUAAUAGGAUUGGGAGUGUAG